GUGGGGAAUAUUGGACAAUGGGCGAAAGCCUGAUCCAGCCAUGCCGCGUGUGUGAAGAAGGUCUUCGGAUUGUAAAGCACUUUAAGUUGGGAGGAAGGGCAGUAAGUUAAUACCUUGCUGUUUUGACGUUACCGACAGAAUAAGCACCGGCUAACUUCGUGCCAGCAGCCGCGGUAAUACGAAGGGUGCAAGCGUUAAUCGGAAUUACUGGGCGUAAAGCGCGCGUAGGUGGUUUUGUAAGUUGGAGGUGAAAUCCCCGGGCUCAAACUGGGAACUGCCUCCAAAACUGCAUGACUAGAGUACGGUAGAGGGUAGUGGAAUUUCCUGUGUAGCGGUGAAAUGCGUAGAUAUAGGAAGGAACACCAGUGGCGAAGGCGACUACCUGGACUGAUACUGACACUGAGGUGCGAAAGCGUGGGGAGCAAACAGGAUUAGAUACCCCGGUAGUCC
This 450-nucleotide ribosomal RNA is filed under the name uncultured bacterium. Its description in RNAcentral is "partial 16S ribosomal RNA". It matches the Rfam family "Bacterial small subunit ribosomal RNA", at positions 354 to 796 of the family's 1533-position model. The record is from RNAcentral.